GACGAACGCUGGCGGCGUGCUUAACACAUGCAAGUCGAACGGAAAGGCCCUGCUUUUGUGGGGUGCUCGAGUGGCGAACGGGUGAGUAACACGUGAGUAACCUGCCCCUGACUUUGGGAUAACUUCAGGAAACUGGGGCGAAUACCGGAUAGGAGCUCCUGCUGCAUGGGGGGGGUUGGAAAGUUUCGGCGGUUGGGGAUGGACUCGCGGCUUAUCAGCUUGUUGGUGGGGUAGUGGCUUACCAAGGCUUUGACGGGUAGCCGGCCUGAGAGGGUGACCGGCCACCUUGGGACUGCGAUACGGCCCAGACUCCUACGGGAGGCAGCAGUGGGGAAUAUUGCACAAUGGGCGGAAGCCUGAUGCAGCAACGCCGCGUGCGGGAUGACGGCCUUCGGGUUGUAAACCGCUUUCGCCUGUGCCGAAGCGUGAGUGACGGUAAUGGGUAAAGAAGCACCGGCUAACUACGUG
This 468-nucleotide ribosomal RNA is filed under the name uncultured bacterium. RNAcentral's name for it is "partial 16S ribosomal RNA". It matches the Rfam family "Bacterial small subunit ribosomal RNA", at positions 28 to 507 of the family's 1533-position model. The record is from RNAcentral.